AUUGAACGCUGGCGGAAUGCUUUACACAUGCAAGUCGAACGGCAGCACGGACUUCGGUCUGGUGGCGAGUGGCGAACGGGUGAGUAAUAUAUCGGAACGUGCCCAGUCGUGGGGGAUAACGUAGCGAAAAUUACGCUAAUACCGCAUACGAUCUAAGGAUGAAAGCGGGGGAUCGCAAGACCUCGCGCGAUUGGAGCGGCCGAUAUCAGAUUAGGUAGUUGGUGAGGUAAAGGCUCACCAAGCCAACGAUCUGUAGCUGGUCUGAGAGGACGACCAGCCACACUGGAACUGAGACACGGUCCAGACUCCUACGGGAGGCAGCAGUGGGGAAUUUUGGACAAUGGACGCAAGUCUGAUCCAGCCAUUCCGCGUGCAGGACGAAGGCCUUCGGGUUGUAAACUGCUUUUGUACAGAACGAAAAGGUCUCUAUUAAUACUAGGGGCUCAUGACGGUACUGUAAGAAUAAGCACCGACUAACUACGUGCCAGCCGCCGCCGUAA
Molecule: ribosomal RNA, 500 nt
Filed under: uncultured bacterium
Lineage: Bacteria
Description: partial 16S ribosomal RNA
Rfam family: Bacterial small subunit ribosomal RNA
Source: RNAcentral